GUGGGGAAUAUUGGACAAUGGGCGAAAGCCUGAUCCAGCAAUGCCGCGUGAGUGAAGAAGGCCUUCGGGUUGUAAAGUUCUUUUGGAGGGGACGAUGAUGACGGUACCCUCAGAAUAAGCUCCGGCUAACUUCGUGCCAGCAGCCGCGGUAAUACGAAGGGAGCUAGCGUUGUUCGGAAUUACUGGGCGUAAAGGGCGCGUAGGCGGUUUGGUUAGUCAGAUGUGGAAGCCCAGGGCUUAACCCUGGAACUGCGUUUGAUACUGCCAAGCUUGAAUUCGGGAGAGGUAAGUGGAAUUCCCAGUGUAGAGGUGAAAUUCGUAGAUAUUGGGAAGAACACCGGUGGCGAAGACGGCUCACUGGACCGACAUUGACGCUGAGGCGCGAAAGCGUGGGGAGCAAACAGGAUUAGAUACCCCAGUAGUCC
Molecule: ribosomal RNA, 425 nt
Filed under: uncultured bacterium
Lineage: Bacteria
Description: partial 16S ribosomal RNA
Rfam family: Bacterial small subunit ribosomal RNA
Source: RNAcentral